Long non-coding RNA from Mytilus californianus (California mussel), 198 nucleotides. RefSeq lists it as uncharacterized. The transcript has 4 exons. The record is from RefSeq and is a predicted model, not a curated record. Lineage: Eukaryota; Metazoa; Mollusca; Bivalvia; Mytilida; Mytilidae.
CGCAAAGGGGAGAGGGAGAAAGAGAAAGCAAGAGAGCAGUUCUGACUCGGAUAAAGAUGAAAGUGGUAAAGACACGAAUGAUGACAAUGAAGAAGAAAUAAGACCAAUAACAAAGAAACCCAGGAAGCAGCUGUUUAUCAAUGAAUUUUCAAGCGUAUCCUGUCAACAUAGCUCAACAGUCAGUGUGCCAACUGAAAG